UCGGGAUAGCUCAGCUGGUAGAGCAGAGGACUGAAAAC
RNAcentral lists this transfer RNA (38 nucleotides) under Corylopsis pauciflora (buttercup winterhazel). Its description in RNAcentral is "partial tRNA-Phe". Lineage: Eukaryota; Viridiplantae; Streptophyta; Magnoliopsida; Saxifragales; Hamamelidaceae. The record is from RNAcentral. RNAcentral also lists the same sequence under 4 other names.